UCCAGACUCCUACGGGAGGCAGCAGUGGGGGAUACUGCACAAUGGGGGGAACCCUGAUGCAGCGACGCCGCGUGGGUGAAGGAGCGUUUCGGCGCGUAAAGCCCUAUCGGCAGGGAAGAAGGAGGACGGUACCUGACUAAGAAGCCCCGGCUAACUACGUGCCAGCAGCCGCGGUAAUACGUAGGGGGCAAGCGUUAUCCGGAUUUACUGGGUGUAAAGGGGGCGCAGACGGCAGCGCAAGCCAGGAGUGAAAGCCCGGGGCCCAACCCCGGGACUGCUCUUGGAACUGCGCGGCUGGAGUGCAGGAGGGGCAGGCGGAAUUCCUGGUGUAGCGGUGAAAUGCGUAGAUAUCAGGAGGAACACCGGUGGCGAAGGCGGCCUGCUGGACUGCGACUGACGUUGAGGCCCGAAAGCGUGGGGAGCAAACAGGAUUAGAUACCCCAGUA
RNAcentral lists this ribosomal RNA (446 nucleotides) under uncultured bacterium. RNAcentral describes it as "partial 16S ribosomal RNA". It matches the Rfam family "Bacterial small subunit ribosomal RNA", at positions 330 to 792 of the family's 1533-position model. The record is from RNAcentral.